RNAcentral lists this ribosomal RNA (442 nucleotides) under Vannella robusta. RNAcentral's name for it is "Vannella sp. CB-2014 partial Bacterial large subunit ribosomal RNA". It matches the Rfam family "Bacterial large subunit ribosomal RNA", at positions 757 to 1197 of the family's 2925-position model. The record is from RNAcentral. Lineage: Eukaryota; Discosea; Flabellinia; Vannellidae.
UAACACAUAGUGGAGGACCGAACCCGUUGACGUUGAAAAGUCUUGGGAUGACCUGUGGGUAGGGGUGAAAGGCCAAUCAAGCUCGGAAAUAGCUCGUACUCCCCGAAAUGCAUUUAGGUGCAGCGUUCUGAUAGUUAUAUAGAGGUAGAGCUACUGAUUGGAUGCGGGGGCUUCACCGCCUACCAAUUCCUGACAAACUCCGAAUGCUAUAAAAUGUUGUUGAGCAGUGAGGGCAUGGGUGCUAAGGUCCAUGUCCGAGAGGGAAAGAACCCGGACCAUCAGCUAAGGUCCCCAAAUAUGUGCUAAGUUGACAAAACGCGGUGGGACUGCACAGACAGCCAGGAUGUUGGCUUGGAAGCAGCCAUUCAUUUAAAGAGUGCGUAACAGCUCACUGGUCGAGCGGUCCCGCAUGGAUAAUGAUCGGGCAUAAGCACAUUACCGA